Molecule: long non-coding RNA, 417 nt
Filed under: Nicotiana benthamiana
Lineage: Eukaryota; Viridiplantae; Streptophyta; Magnoliopsida; Solanales; Solanaceae
Description: long non-coding RNA (NBEN_LNC011764)
Source: RNAcentral
GAGGACCUACAACGAGUUGCGGUUGCUUCGCAAGCAAUACUCGACGGUAUAGCGCAUGCGUCUCAUCGUCUUGGGAGCACUCGUAGUUGUUUGAGUCGUUGCGUUAGGGCAAUACAACUACGAGAACCAGUCGUCCUAACGCUACUGUCAAACCUACUUACGUUGUCCUUAUUACCACUCGUCGGGUAGUUGUUCCGUAACACCACUAGUCGUUAUAGCACUAGUCCUUUUUGUUCGGCGUUAGGGGGCCCCACGAGUCGUCGCUAGCGUCAUCGGUUGUUUUGAACACAGAUCGGUCACACUACUGGUUGUUUGGAACGCUAAGGCCGAAAGGCAGGCGGUCGGGAACACUAAAGGCGCUUGCUCUGGGCGCUAGGGGCCGUUGCUCACGCAAGCGAAAGGGUGUUUUGGAGCACU